AAUAGAUACCCUGGUAGUCCACGCCGUAAACGAUGAGUGCUAAGUGUUAGAGGGUUUCCGCCCUUUAGUGCUGCAGCUAACGCAUUAAGCACUCCGCCUGGGGAGUACGGUCGCAAGACUGAAACUCAAAGGAAUUGACGGGGGCCCGCACAAGCGGUGGAGCAUGUGGUUUAAUUCGAAGCAACGCGAAGAACCUUACCAGGUCUUGACAUCCUCUGACAACUCUAGAGAUAGAGCGUUCCCCUUCGGGGGACAGAGUGACAGGUGGUGCAUGGUUGUCAUCAGCUCGUGUCGUGAGAUGUUGGGUUAAGUCCCGCAACGAGCGCAACCCUUGAUCUUAGUUGCCAGCAUUUAGUUGGGCACUCUAAGGUGACUGCCGGUGACAAACCGGAGGAAGGUGGGGAUGACGUCAAAUCAUCAUGCCCCUUAUGACCUGGGCUACACACGUGCUACAAUGGAUGGUACAAAGGGCUGCAAGACCGCGAGGUUAAGCCAAUCCCAUAAAACCAUUCUCAGUUCGGAUUGUAGG
Molecule: ribosomal RNA, 529 nt
Filed under: uncultured bacterium
Lineage: Bacteria
Description: bacterial SSU rRNA
Rfam family: Bacterial small subunit ribosomal RNA
Source: RNAcentral